AUAUUAAUUAGAAUUUAAUUGAGCAAUUUCGAGAAUAUUAUUUAAGUUAGGUAAGAAUUUUUUUGUACUAAUUUAUCUGUUUUUAUUUUUACGAGAAAUUAAAGAUAAAGAAAAAUUUAUAAAUUCUUUACUGUCGUUCUUUAACUCUUUUGAAAUCGUUGAUUAUUCGGUUGGAGAAAAUAUCAUAUUUUUUAUUUUCUUUUUCGAAAUUUUGUUUUAAAAAAUUAUGACAGCUAAUUACACGGCAUGUAAAAAAGUAAAAU
This 263-nucleotide small RNA is filed under the name Arabidopsis thaliana (thale cress). RNAcentral's name for it is "ATSL022200". The record is from RNAcentral. Lineage: Eukaryota; Viridiplantae; Streptophyta; Magnoliopsida; Brassicales; Brassicaceae.